Molecule: long non-coding RNA, 2744 nt
Organism: Helianthus annuus (common sunflower)
Lineage: Eukaryota; Viridiplantae; Streptophyta; Magnoliopsida; Asterales; Asteraceae
Exons: 5
Source: RefSeq, a predicted model, not a curated record
ACUCUCUCCUUCUCCAAUUGUAAAACACUCUGUCUCCCCAAAACUUAUGGUAGUUACAGUAGUUACAGGUUUCAUCCUUCAAAUUCAUGAUUUCAAGAACCAAAUCUUUUAAUUUCUUCUCGUUUCAGUUCAAAAUCAUGCCACCUUACAUCCAUCUGCUUAUUCAACUCCUCCCAAAAUGCCACCCUUUCAUUCUCCACCCGCUUCACCAUCACCCCACCCCACUCCCUCCCCACUGCCUCCCCGGCGACGGUAUCGCAUUUGGGGGAGAGAUACUAUCACAUCCUCAUUUAAUCUCAACGAAACCCUAACCAAUGGAACCUACAAAUUAACCACUAUUAUGAAUCCUUGUUAAAUCAAUUUUUCGAUGGAUUCUUCCUUCGCACUUCAAUUGGCCUCCAGAUUUGUCUUCCCCGCCCCAAAUUUCUGAAGAAUCUCUUUUGGAUGUUGGUUUUCAAUUGCAUAAAGAGGUGAUUCAGGUGGAAUCGUCUACCUCUGAUGAGCGGCAAACAAAAGCGUAGGUCGAGCUUAACCCAAAUAUAGAGCGAAGGUGUUCUAAUGUUCUGCCCACAGUUUUCUCGGCUAAAGAUUGGUUGAUAAAGAGAAAUUCCAGGUACGUAUGUGAGGAGGGAAUGUUCCCUAAAAGAACGAGAACUUUUAUGCGGGCGGCUCAUUGAUCGGCUUAUACGACCAUUUUUCCCUGCUGGAUUUUAUCAUGAGGGUCAGGUGAUGUCUAGUGUGCUUUCUUCAAAUGAGAAACAAGUUCCAGAUGUAAUGUGUUCUGCACUGCUAUGUUUAAGUAUUUUGCUAUUACUUAAGUUUCCUCAACUUAAUUUGAAGGUUACGUUCAUAUCAAUUUAUGAUAUAUGAACAGGUGAAGGCGCCCUUUACUAGGGCUGUUAACGAGCCGAGUCAAGCCGAGCAAGGCCUAGCUCGAGCUCGGCUCGGCUCAAGCUCGAAUUAUAAAUCGAGCUGAGGUUUAGGGCUCGAGCUCGACUCGAUUAUAAAUUCGAGCCGACUCGAUUUAGCUCGAUCUAAUCAAGAACAGUUAAGUUGACAAGUAUAUAAGCACUCAUACAUGAUUUGAUUGCAACGUAAUUAAGCCAAAGACUUAAAUAUGUAACUUUUUUUGGCCAAAGAAUAAAAUAUGUAAGUAUAGCUUAUUAUUCUUUUGUUGGUUUCACCUUGAUUUUUAUAGGGGAGGUGUUCCCUCAGUGUUUGUGUUCUCUGCGAUGUGAGACAAAAGUGAUUGUAGGAUAAUCAAAGUUUAUGUAUUAGAAUCAUAUUAUUAGUUAUUUAUUGAUACUGAUAGUGUAUGUUUCAGAAUCAUAUUAUUAGUUCUUAUCAGUUCUUUAUUUGAUCUCAGUUACAUCAUCUGCAAAACACAUACACAUAGUUGGAUAGUCAAAGUGUACACAUCAGAAUCAUAUAAGAAUUCACUAGAUUCGUAAUUGUAAGAACUAACUAAAUAUUGAGAUUUGAAUAUAUAUAAGCUAACAAAUUCACAAUAUUAUGUCUCUAUUAAAACUAAUAUAUUAAAAAUAAAAUAAUUCGAGCCGGCUCACGAGCCGAGCCAGGCCUAGCUCGGGCUCGGCUCGUUUUCAAACCUAGCCGAGCCGAGCUGAACCGAGCCGAGCUGGCUCGUUUACAACCGAGCCAAUUUCAAGCCGAGCUUUUUUUGAGUUUUUUUCGAGCGAACUUCGAGCAAGCCGCGAGCUUUUUGAACACCCCUACCCUUUACAAAGCUACUCGCGAGCUACUCGAGCUCGGCUUGAAAAAAGCUUGAACGAGCUUAAACGAGCCCGAGUCUAAAAAACAAGCUACUUUAGUAAACGAGCCCAUGCCCGGGCUUCACUUAUUGAGCUCGAGCCGGCUUGCAAACCUAAACGAGCCUAUUGUUUAUGUAAAUUUUUAUUACUAUAUUAAAUAUAUAUUCAAAUAAUAAUAAAUUUAUGAAAAAAUAACUAAGUGCUUCUUUUAAUCAUGAUUAUUCAUGAAUAUUGAAGUUGACUACCAAGGUUUUCGGUAAUAAACGUGUUCAAUCUCAGGUCAUUUCAAGUUAAAUAAGUGCUUUUUUAACUAUGAUUAUUCAUGUAUAUUAACUUGUAGUCGUCCAUUUUCUACAGUUAAUGACCUGCAACAAUGUUACUUACAAAAAUGGCAUCAACUAGUGAAUCCAUCACGGAACCACCAUAAAAAGGAUGCUGUUGUCAUGCAAAGGGAAGGUAUAGUUCAGCUUUGUCUGAUUUUCAAUCUGUGCGGUCUACAUUUACACAAUACCGGUACCUAUGAAUAUGACCAUUUCUAUGUUUGUGUAGCAAAAUUGAAAUAAUCACUAAUGUUUAUAUUUCUCGAUUAGUCGACUAGAAGGGUGAUAGCAAAACUUAGAUAUGUGGAGCUCUAUCAUUCAGCUAACAUUGUAUCGAGAUUUUGAUCAUGAUGAUGAAAUUUUUGCUACUGCUGAUGUUUCAAGGCCUACAAAAAUUUCUAACAUCUCAACUGGAAUGAGAGAAGGUUGUGUUGUUACAACUUGCAAGUGCGGCUAGGAGUGACAGUUUGAGACAAAAGUAUUGUUACAAGUGCUCCUAGGAGUGAGUAAUGCAAGUUAUCUUGGAGUUGCUGCACAUUUGUAUAUAUCUUUUGAUUAGAACUUAGAAGUUUAUGUAUCUAGUAUUUAAAUUUAAAACUUAUGCAUGGGUUUUGGUUUAUUAUUGUUAAUGUCAUUAAAUUUGUUUUUUGGGUUU